AUUGAACGCUGGCGGCAGGCCUAACACAUGCAAGUCGAGCGGAUGAAGGGAGCUUGCUCCUGGAUUCAGCGGCGGACGGGUGAGUAAUGCCUAGGAAUCUGCCUGGUAGUGGGGGAUAACGUCCGGAAACGGGCGCUAAUACCGCAUACGUCCUGAGGGAGAAAGUGGGGGAUCUUCGGACCUCACGCUAUCAGAUGAGCCUAGGUCGGAUUAGCUAGUUGGUGGGGUAAAGGCCUACCAAGGCGACGAUCCGUAACUGGUCUGAGAGGAUGAUCAGUCAAAAUGGAAAGGAGAAACGGGCCAGACUUCGAAGGGAGGAAGCAGGGGGGAAAAUUGGAAAAUGGGCGAAAGCCUGAUCCAGCCAAGGCGCGUGUGUGAAGAAGGUCUUCGGAUUGUAAAGCACUUUAAGUUGGGAGGAAGGGCAGUAAGUUAAUACCUUGCUGUUUUGACGUUACCAACAGAAUAAGCACCGGCUAACUUCGUG
Molecule: ribosomal RNA, 484 nt
Filed under: uncultured bacterium
Lineage: Bacteria
Description: partial 16S ribosomal RNA
Rfam family: Bacterial small subunit ribosomal RNA
Source: RNAcentral